AUUAACGCUGGCGGCAUGCCUAACACAUGCAAGUCGAAUGUGCCCGCAAGGGUAACAUGGCGAACGGCUGAGUAACACGUGGGGACUUACCUUCGAGUUCAGCAUAACCUGCCGAAAGGCAGGAUAAUUCUGGAUAUUCUCGUGAGAGGAAAGAUUUAUCGCUCGAAGAGAGACCUGCGUCCGAUUAGCUUGUUGGCGGGGUAAAGGCCUACCAAGGCACUGAUCGGUAGGGGGCUUGAGAGGGUGACCCCCCAGACUGGGACUGAGACACGGCCCAGACUCCUACGGGAGGCAGCAGUGAGGGAUUUUCCACAAUGGGCGAAAGCCUGAUGGAGCAAUGCCGCGUGAAGGAAGAAGGUCUUCGGAUUGUAAACUUCUUUUGCGUAGGACGAUUAUGACGGUACUAAGCGAAUAAGGCGCUGCUAACUACGU
RNAcentral lists this ribosomal RNA (432 nucleotides) under uncultured bacterium. Its description in RNAcentral is "bacterial SSU rRNA". It matches the Rfam family "Bacterial small subunit ribosomal RNA", at positions 29 to 506 of the family's 1533-position model. The record is from RNAcentral.